RNAcentral lists this ribosomal RNA (252 nucleotides) under uncultured bacterium. Its description in RNAcentral is "partial 16S ribosomal RNA". It matches the Rfam family "Bacterial small subunit ribosomal RNA", at positions 524 to 776 of the family's 1533-position model. The record is from RNAcentral.
UACGUAGGUCCCGAGCGUUGUCCGGAUUUAUUGGGCGUAAAGCGAGCGCAGGUGGUUUAUUAAGUCUGGUGUAAAAGGCAGUGGCUCAACCAUUGUACGCAUUGGAAACUGGUAGACUUGAGUGCAGGAGAGGAGAGUGGAAUUCCAUGUGUAGCGGUGAAAUGCGUAGAUAUAUGGAGGAACACCGGUGGCGAAAGCGGCUCUCUGGCCUGUAACUGGCACUGAGGCUCGAAAGCGUGGGGAGCAAACAGG